Molecule: long non-coding RNA, 257 nt
Filed under: dengue virus type 4
Lineage: Riboviria; Orthornavirae; Kitrinoviricota; Flasuviricetes; Amarillovirales; Flaviviridae
Description: partial sfRNA2
Rfam family: Flavivirus DB element (bases 176-248)
Source: RNAcentral
UUGAAGUCAGGCCACUUGUGCCACGGCUUGAGCAAACCGUGCUGCCUGUAGCUCCGCCAAUAACGGGAGGCGUUAAAAAUCCCGGGGAGGCCAUGCGCCACGGAAGCUGUACGCGUGGCAUAUUGGACUAGUGGUUAGAGGAGACCCCUCCCAUUAUCAACAAACGCAGCACAAAGGGGGCCCGAAGUCAGGAUGAAGCUGUACUCCUGAUGGAAGGACUAGCGGUUAGAGGAGACCCCCCCAACACAAAAACAGCA